This 21-nucleotide non-coding RNA is filed under the name Arabidopsis thaliana (thale cress). Lineage: Eukaryota; Viridiplantae; Streptophyta; Magnoliopsida; Brassicales; Brassicaceae. The record is from RNAcentral.
UUUGAGCGGAGUAAACAUGCU